This 464-nucleotide ribosomal RNA is filed under the name uncultured bacterium. RNAcentral describes it as "bacterial SSU rRNA". It matches the Rfam family "Bacterial small subunit ribosomal RNA", at positions 917 to 1382 of the family's 1533-position model. The record is from RNAcentral.
GGGCCCGCACAAGCGGCGGAGGAUGUUGCUUAAUUCGAUGCAACGCGAAGAACCUUACCAAGGUUUGACAUGCAGGGAAAAGCCAUAGAGAUAUGGUGUCCGUAAGGGUCCUGCACAGGUGGUGCAUGGCUGUCGUCAGCUCGUGUCGUGAGAUGUUGGGUUAAGUCCCGCAACGAGCGCAACCCUCGUUCUAUGUUGCCAGCGGGUAAUGCCGGGAACUCAUAGGAGACUGCCGGGGUCAACUCGGAGGAAGGUGGGGAUGACGUCAAGUCCUCAUGCCCCUUAUAUCUUGGGCUGCAAACAUCCUACAAUGGCCGGUACAAAGGGUUGCGAGACCGCAAGGUGGAGCGAAUCUCAAAAAGCCGGUCUCAGUUCGGAUUGGGGUCUGCAACUCGACCCCAUGAAGUCGGAGUCGCUAGUAAUCGCGAAUCAGCAACGUCGCGGUGAAUACGUUCCCGGGCCUU